CUACCCUUGACAUGUACGGAAUCCUGAAGAGAUUUGGGAGUGCUCGAAAGAGAGCCGUAACACAGGUGCUGCAUGGCUGUCGUCAGCUCGUGUCGUGAGAUGUUGGGUUAAGUCCCGCAACGAGCGCAACCCUUGUCAUUAGUUGCUACGAAAGGGCACUUCUAAUGAGACUGCCGGUGACAAACCGGGGGAAGGUGGGGAUGACGUCAAGUCCUCAUGGCCCUUAUGGGUAGGGCUUCACACGUCAUACAAUGGUACAUACAGAGGGCCGCCAACCCGCGAGGGGGAGCUAAUCCCAGAAAGUGUAUCGUAGUCCGGAUUGGAGUCUACAACUCGACUCCAUGAAGUUGGAAUCGCUAGUAAUCGCGGAUCAGC
RNAcentral lists this ribosomal RNA (375 nucleotides) under uncultured bacterium. Its description in RNAcentral is "bacterial SSU rRNA". It matches the Rfam family "Bacterial small subunit ribosomal RNA", at positions 975 to 1353 of the family's 1533-position model. The record is from RNAcentral.